UUAUCUCUACAUGGGGACAAGGGAUGCAAGUAAAGACUAGAGAGGGGAAUGAGAGACGAUAAGUAAAAAAAAAAAAAAAUCAUUCCUAAUUUAAGGUUAAAAUCCUGAACUCAGUGAAAAGAAAUCACUCCAGUAAAUGAACAAUGUUUAGUUUGCAAGUCAUACCCAGAUCCUGAUCUCGCCCACUGCUGGAAUGGAGGAUAUUUACAUGAAAGAAUAACAAUGUGGAGGGUGGAAGAGUAGAAAAUCACGUGUUUUGAGUCAAAAUUGCUUUUGCAUUAUUUGGCUACGCAGGUAUUACUGAUAGCAAAGUGCUCAGCUGUUUAAAUAUAUGUUAUGUUUUAGCUGGAUAAUUAUUUUCUGUCCUGUCUGAUGUAGAAAUUGAAUUCCACCCCCCCACACACUCACUAAUGUGUGUGCAAUCUGCAGCCUUUUUCUGUGACUUUGCUGCCAUCUGGUGGAGGUAAAAAUGGCGCUCAAUCUUAGCGGAAGUGACGUAGUAAAAUGCGCUCUCGCUAGGCUUUCUCCAGCUACAUGCUGAGAGCGAUGUUCUUGCGUUAAAAAUACAGAGUUUAGGUUGUGUGAAAUAGAUCCUAUCCAGUUUAAUUCACCCACAGCUGAAUACAGAUAAAGAGUUAAGAUAAGCGUUAGCCACUCGGUGACGUUUGCCGGUGGGCGGAGUCCAACAGGCGGGACAUAAAAACGAGAUGCACCGCGCUCUUCUUCCACUUCCUACGAUCUUCUACCAGAGGUAAGACUUGUGCAAUACUUAGCCGCUUUAUUUCAGAUGCAGAGUUUAUCCACUAAUUGGAUGAUUUUAAAGAAAGAAACUACUGUAGUGAUACUGCAGUCUCACAUGUGGAGCUGCUGGAAACGUGCUUCCUGCACAGGCAUGGCCUGUGAUGACACUUCAUACAUCAGGUCCUCUGAUGUGAACCCCGCAGUGUUCAGAGUGGCUUAAAUUCACAGAG
RNAcentral lists this long non-coding RNA (971 nucleotides) under Oreochromis niloticus (Nile tilapia). Its description in RNAcentral is "lncRNA (ENSONIG00000029905.1)". Lineage: Eukaryota; Metazoa; Chordata; Actinopteri; Cichliformes; Cichlidae. The record is from RNAcentral.